GUGUCCAUUGUUAGAACAAGAAAGCUGAAGUCUGGCUCAGUGAACAGAAGAAGAUUGGUUCCUUAAAUACCGGUACGAGCCACUGAGGAGGCUAUCUUCCAUUUAAUUGUGCUUUUGAAAGGUGUUUCAACCUACCCUGUGUCUUUCUAAGAUGUUGGAGUUCACAGCCCUUGCCAGCUCUUGUUCAGCAGAGGCUACAUGCAUCCAGAGGCAUCUUCUCAAUCCCACCACAGAGGAGAGAAGGAAUUGGAGACCUGUUCUUUAUUUUCUUCUCACUACAUAUAGGACUUUCAAAUCAG
Long non-coding RNA from Hippopotamus amphibius kiboko, 299 nucleotides. RefSeq lists it as uncharacterized. The record is from RefSeq and is a predicted model, not a curated record. NCBI's taxonomy places the organism in Eukaryota, Metazoa, Chordata, Mammalia, Artiodactyla, Hippopotamidae. The transcript is spliced from 4 exons.